GAUGAACGCUGGCGGCGUGCUUAACACAUGCAAGUCGAACGAAGCACUUUAUUUGAUUUCCUUCGGGACUGAUUAUUUUGUGACUGAGUGGCGGACGGGUGAGUAACGCGUGGGUAACCUGCCUUGUACAGGGGGAUAACAGUUGGAAACGGCUGCUAAUACCGCAUAAGCGCACAGCAUCGCAUGAUGCAGUGUGAAAAACUCCGGUGGUAUAAGAUGGACCCGCGUUGGAUUAGCUAGUUGGUGAGGUAACGGCCCACCAAGGCGACGAUCCAUAGCCGACCUGAGAGGGUGACCGGCCACAUUGGGACUGAGACACGGCCCAAACUCCUACGGGAGGCAGCAGUGGGGAAUAUUGCACAAUGGGCGAAAGCCUGAUGCAGCGACGCCGCGUGAGCGAAGAAGUAUUUCGGUAUGUAAAGCUCUAUCAGCAGGGAAGAUAAUGACGGUACCUGACUAAGAAGCACCGGUUAAAUACGUG
RNAcentral lists this ribosomal RNA (481 nucleotides) under uncultured bacterium. RNAcentral's name for it is "partial 16S ribosomal RNA". It matches the Rfam family "Bacterial small subunit ribosomal RNA", at positions 28 to 507 of the family's 1533-position model. The record is from RNAcentral.